CCCUUUGGGUGUGACUGCGUACCUUUUGUAUAAUGGGUCAGCGACUUAUAUUCUGUAGCAAGGUUAACCGAAUAGGGGAGCCGGAGGGAAACCGAGUCUUAACCGGGCGUUAAGUUGCAGGGUAUAGACCCGAAACCCGGUGAUCUAGCCAUGGGCAGGUUGAAGGUUGGGUAACACUAACUGGAGGACCGAACCGACUAAUGUUGAAAAAUUAGCGGAUGACCUGUGGCUGGGGGUGAAAGGCCAAUCAAACCGGGAGAUAGCUGGUUCUCCCCGAAAGCUAUUUAGGUAGCGCCUCGUGAAUUCAUCUCCGGGGGUAGAGCACUGUUUCGGCUAGGGGGCCAUCCCGGCUUACCAACCCGAUGCAAACUGCGAAUACCGGAGAAUGUUAUCACGGGAGACACACGGCGGGUGCUAACGUCCGUCGUGAAGAGGGAAACAACCCAGACCGCCAGCUAAGGUCCCAAAGUCAUGGUUAAGUGGGAAACGAUGUGGGAAGGCCCAGACAGCCAGGAUGUUGGCUUAGAAGCAGCCAUCAUUUAAAGAAAGCGUAAUAGCUCACUGGUCGAGUCGGCCUGCGCGGAAGAUGUAACGGGGCUAAACCAUGCACCGAAGCUGCGGCAGCGACACUGUGUGUUGUUGGGUAGGGGAGCGUUCUGUAAGCCUGUGAAGGUGUGUCGUGAGGCAUGCUGGAGGUAUCAGAAGUGCGAAUGCUGACAUAAGUAACGAUAAAGCGGGUGAAAAGCCCGCUCGCCGGAAGACCAAGGGUUCCUGUCCAACGUUAAUCGGGGCAGGGUGAGUCGACCCCUAAGGCGAGGCCGAAAGGCGUAGUCGAUGGGAAACGGGUUAAUAUUCCCGUACUUGGUGUUACUGCGAAGGGGGGACGGAGAAGGCUAUGUUGGCCGGGCGACGGUUGUCCCGGUUUAAGCGUGUAGGCUGGUUUUCCAGGCAAAUCCGGAAAAUCAAGGCUGAGGCGUGAUGACGAGGCACUACGGUGCUGAAGCAACAAAUGCCCUGCUUCCAGGAAAAGCCUCUAAGCAUCAGGUAACAUCAAAUCGUACCCCAAACCGACACAGGUGGUCAGGUAGAGAAUACCAAGGCGCUUGAGAGAACUCGGGUGAAGGAACUAGGCAAAAUGGUGCCGUAACUUCGGGAGAAGGCACGCUGACACGUAGGUGAAGUGAUUUACUCAUGGAGCUGAAGUCAGUCGAAGAUACCAGCUGGCUGCAACUGUUUAUUAAAAACACAGCACUGUGCAAACACGAAAGUGGACGUAUACGGUGUGACGCCUGCCCGGUGCCGGAAGGUUAAUUGAUGGGGUCAGCGCAAGCGAAGCUCCUGAUCGAAGCCCCGGUAAACGGCGGCCGUAACUAUAACGGUCCUAAGGUAGCGAAAUUCCUUGUCGGGUAAGUUCCGACCUGCACGAAUGGCGUAAUGAUGGCCAGGCUGUCUCCACCCGAGACUCAGUGAAAUUGAACUCGCUGUGAAGAUGCAGUGUACCCGCGGCAAGACGGAAAGACCCCGUGAACCUUUACUAUAGCUUGACACUGAACAUUGAGCCUUGAUGUGUAGGAUAGGUGGGAGGCUUUGAAGUGUGGACGCCAGUCUGCAUGGAGCCGACCUUGAAAUACCACCCUUUAAUGUUUGAUGUUCUAACGUGGACCCGUUACCCGGGUUGCGGACAGUGUCUGGUGGGUAGUUUGACUGGGGCGGUCUCCUCCUAAAGAGUAACGGAGGAGCACGAAGGUUGGCUAAUCCUGGUCGGACAUCAGGAGGUUAGUGCAAUGGCAUAAGCCAGCUUGACUGCGAGCGUGACGGCGCGAGCAGGUGCGAAAGCAGGUCAUAGUGAUCCGGUGGUUCUGAAUGGAAGGGCCAUCGCUCAACGGAUAAAAGGUACUCCGGGGAUAACAGGCUGAUACCGCCCAAGAGUUCAUAUCGACGGCGGUGUUUGGCACCUCGAUGUCGGCUCAUCACAUCCUGGGGCUGAAGUAGGUCCCAAGGGUAUGGCUGUUCGCCAUUUAAAGUGGUACGCGAGCUGGGUUUAGAACGUCGUGAGACAGUUCGGUCCCUAUCUGCCGUGGGCGCUGGAGAACUGAGGGGGGCUGCUCCUAGUACGAGAGGACCGGAGUGGACGCAUCACUGGUGUUCGGGUUGUCAUGCCAAUGGCACUGCCCGGUAGCUAAAUGCGGAAGAGAUAAGUGCUGAAAGCAUCUAAGCACGAAACUUGCCCCGA
RNAcentral lists this ribosomal RNA (2233 nucleotides) under Salmonella enterica. RNAcentral's name for it is "partial 23S ribosomal RNA". It matches the Rfam family "Bacterial large subunit ribosomal RNA", at positions 582 to 2802 of the family's 2925-position model. RNAcentral also lists the same sequence under 1 other name. The record is from RNAcentral. Lineage: Bacteria; Pseudomonadati; Pseudomonadota; Gammaproteobacteria; Enterobacterales; Enterobacteriaceae.